UAAUAUCUAGCAGAUAGCAGUCGGAUUUUAUUUUUUAUUUUUCGGGUGUCAGAAUGACAUGAAACUUUAAAUUUAGGUUCAUAAAAAUAAUUCUGAUAUAUUUUCCAGUUUUCAUAAUUUUCUGACACUGCAUUUUCUGCUAAAAUAUCAGCCCCGUCUCUCACAGAAAAUUCUAAAUCUUCUGUUUUCAUUCCGAUUUCAGCACAGGUCAUUUCAGACUUACAUUUUACUUUUAUCAGUCCAAUAAAAAAUAGUAUCUCAUACUAUUUUUAUUUAUUUUUUACUUUUAUAUCAAAAUCCGGUAUGUUACACUCAGCCUAUAUAUAUGCGUAGAGAGCUUCUGAGAGCAGGAUUCUUCUUCUUUUCCUUUCUCUCUCUAGCUGGGGUACGCCAUUCAUUGGGUAUGUGCGGAUCGAGCUUGUCCGGAUUCGACGUUUCUCUGGAGGACCGUUUGUGCGCGUGGGUGCCUCGGUUGAGCCGUUGGAGGUCGAGCGAGCACGCGGGUGGAAUCCUAUCGACUUCUUGUUGACGUUGGACGAGCGUUUGAGGUGGGUUAGAAAUCAUCAGAUUUCCUU
Molecule: long non-coding RNA, 575 nt
Filed under: Ananas comosus (pineapple)
Lineage: Eukaryota; Viridiplantae; Streptophyta; Magnoliopsida; Poales; Bromeliaceae
Description: long non-coding RNA (ACOM_LNC013444)
Source: RNAcentral